RNAcentral lists this ribosomal RNA (435 nucleotides) under uncultured Clostridium sp. RNAcentral describes it as "partial 16S ribosomal RNA". It matches the Rfam family "Bacterial small subunit ribosomal RNA", at positions 341 to 792 of the family's 1533-position model. Lineage: Bacteria; Bacillati; Bacillota; Clostridia; Eubacteriales; Clostridiaceae. The record is from RNAcentral.
ACGGAAGGCAGCAGUGGGGGAUAUUGCACAAUGGGCGCAACUCUGAUGCAGCAACGCCGCGUGAGGGAAGAAGGUCUUCGGAUUGUAAACCUCUGUUUUUGGUGAAGAAUUUUGACGGUAGCCAAAGAGGAAGCCACGGCUAACUACGUGCCAGCAGCCGCGGUAAUACGUAGGUGGCAAGCGUUGUCCGGAUUUACUGGGUGUAAAGGGUGCGCAGGCGGGACUGCAAGUUGGAUGUGAAAUACCGGGGCUCAACUCCGGAGCUGCAUCCAAAACUGUGGUUCUUGAGUGGAGUAGAGGUAAGCGGAAUUCCGAGUGUAGCGGUGAAAUGCGUAGAUAUUCGGAGGAACACCAGUGGCGACGGCGGCUUACUGGGCUCUAACUGACGCUGAGGCACGAAAGUGUGGGUAGCAAACAGGAUUAGAUACCCUGGUA